UUUUGCGUUUGGCUUGUUAUCAACAAUAGCGUUACCUACUGCGUGCAAUAAGUGCGUUUUACCUAAACCCGUUCCACCAUA
RNAcentral lists this antisense RNA (81 nucleotides) under Vibrio ezurae NBRC 102218. Its description in RNAcentral is "antisense RNA of dnaA mRNA". It matches the Rfam family "antisense RNA of dnaA mRNA". Lineage: Bacteria; Pseudomonadati; Pseudomonadota; Gammaproteobacteria; Vibrionales; Vibrionaceae. The record is from Rfam by way of RNAcentral.